This 163-nucleotide ribosomal RNA is filed under the name Muraltia ciliaris. RNAcentral describes it as "5.8S ribosomal RNA". It matches the Rfam family "5.8S ribosomal RNA". From Rfam's summary of the family: 5.8S ribosomal RNA (5.8S rRNA) is a component of the large subunit of the eukaryotic ribosome. The record is from RNAcentral. Lineage: Eukaryota; Viridiplantae; Streptophyta; Magnoliopsida; Fabales; Polygalaceae.
GAACGACUCUCGGCAACGGAUAUCUCGGCUCUCGCAUCGAUGAAGAACGUAGCGAAAUGCGAUACUUGGUGUGAAUUGCAGAAUCCCGUGAACCAUCGAGUCUUUGAACGCAAGUUGCGCCCGACGCCUUCUGGCNGAGGGCAUGUCUGCCUGGGCGUCACGC